GAGGAAUGUAUAGCAAUAGCUAGUUGCAUCAUAGUAGAUAUGAUGCAAGAUCGACUAUGUUGAAUAAAAUUCUAGGUAGAAUUAUGAUAAUGACAUUGUCUGCCUAUGUGUCUUGACCAAAUUACGUGCCAGCAGUCGCGGUAAUACGUAGAAGACUAGUGUUAUUCAUGUUUAAUCGGUUUAAAGGGUACCUAGACGGUAGAUCAAGCUUUCUAAUAAAGGAAAAGGACUAGUUUACUAGAGUUACUUAUGAGGGGGUAUUAAAGUACUGCUGGUGUAGAGAUGAAAUUCUGUCAUACCUCUUUUCAAAAGAAAAACCAUGGCACAGGUAUAGGCGAAGGCAUCCCCUUAUGUGAUAACUGACGUUGAGGGACGAAGGCUUUGUGUAGCGAACAGGAUUAGAUACCCCAGUAGUCGAAGCAGAAAAUGAUGAAUGUCAUAGAUUAGAUAUAUAAGUUUAUUCUAUAAAUGAAAGUGUAAGCAUUCCACCUCAUGAGUAAUUUGGCAACAUUGGAACUGAAAUCAUUAGACCGUUUCUGAAACCAGUAGUGAAGUAUGUUGUUUAAUUUGAUGUCCCGCAAAAAACCUUACCACAAUUUGAAUAUUUAUAUUGUUUAUUGUUUUAUUAUUAAUUUUCUUGAACGGAAAGAUCACGUAAAAAAAAAAAACAGACACAGAGAUUUAAGAUAAUAGUAAGAAAAUUAAGAAAAAAGCAAUAAGAUAUAAUUACAAGCGUUGCACGGCUGUCUUCAGUUAAUGUCGCGAGACUUUGGUUAGUUCCAUUAAAUUAACGUAAACCCUUACUUUAUUUUUAUAUAGAGUAGUUCCCCGCUAUAUUGGAUAUGAU
Molecule: ribosomal RNA, 847 nt
Filed under: Xanthoparmelia isidiovagans
Lineage: Eukaryota; Fungi; Ascomycota; Lecanoromycetes; Lecanorales; Parmeliaceae
Description: SSU rRNA
Rfam family: Bacterial small subunit ribosomal RNA
Source: RNAcentral